GGCGUGCUUAACACAUGCAAGUCGAGCGGAAAGGCCCUUCGGGGUACUCGAGCGGCGAACGGGUGAGUAACACGUGAGCAACCUGCCCCAGGCUUUGGGAUAACCCCGGGAAACCGGGGCUAAUACCGGAUAUGACCUUGCACCGCAUGGUGUUUGGUGGAAAGUUUUUCGGCUUGGGAUGGGCUCGCGGCCUAUCAGCUUGUUGGUGGGGUGAUGGCCUACCAAGGCGACGACGGGUAGCCGGCCUGAGAGGGCGACCGGCCACACUGGGACUGAGACACGGCCCAGACUCCUACGGGAGGCAGCAGUGGGGAAUAUUGCACAAUGGGCGGAAGCCUGAUGCAGCGACGCCGCGUGAGGGAUGACGGCCUUCGGGUUGUAAACCUCUUUCAGCAGGGACGAAGCGUAAGUGACGGUACCUGCAGAAGAAGCGCCGGCCAACUACGUGCCAGCAGCCGCGGUAAGACGUAGGGCGCGAGCGUUGUCCGGAUUUAUUGGGCGUAAAGAGCUCGUAGGCGGCUUGUCGCGUCGACCGUGAAAACCUGGGGCUCAACCCCAGGCCUGCGGUCGAUACGGGCAGGCUAGAGUUCGGUAGGGGAGACUGGAAUUCCUGGUGUAGCGGUGAAAUGCGCAGAUAUCAGGAGGAACACCGGUGGCGAAGGCGGGUCUCUGGGCCGAUACUGACGCUGAGGAGCGAAAGCGUGGGGAGCGAACAGGAUUAGAUACCCUGGUAGUCCACGCUGUAAACGUUGGGCGCUAGGUGUGGG
RNAcentral lists this ribosomal RNA (767 nucleotides) under Micromonospora sp. Se080624GE-07. RNAcentral describes it as "bacterial SSU rRNA". It matches the Rfam family "Bacterial small subunit ribosomal RNA", at positions 41 to 826 of the family's 1533-position model. Lineage: Bacteria; Bacillati; Actinomycetota; Actinomycetes; Micromonosporales; Micromonosporaceae. The record is from RNAcentral.